Long non-coding RNA from Stylophora pistillata, 216 nucleotides. Lineage: Eukaryota; Metazoa; Cnidaria; Anthozoa; Scleractinia; Pocilloporidae. The record is from RefSeq and is a predicted model, not a curated record.
GGUAUCACCAACGUCACGGGAUCAGAUGGUAAACCCGAAACAGGUGCUUCCAAAGGUGCAGGUGGUAAAGAGACACUCACCAUGUACCUGUCUAUAAGAGCGGGCUUAGCGGUGAUCACGAUUUUCGCUUUCCUCAUUUGGCGAUAUGCUGCCAAGAGAUCCAGAAUACAGAAAAAUCAACGAACAUGUGAAGAAGCCAGUGAAAUCCACACGUAU